Molecule: ribosomal RNA, 253 nt
Filed under: uncultured bacterium
Lineage: Bacteria
Description: partial 16S ribosomal RNA
Rfam family: Bacterial small subunit ribosomal RNA
Source: RNAcentral
CACGUAGGCACCAAGCGUUAUCCGGAUUUAUUGGGCGUAAAGGGCUCGUAGGCGGUUUGUCGCGUCGGGAGUGAAAACAUCUGGCUUAACUGGGUGCUUGCUUUCGAUACGGGCAGACUAGAGGUAUGCAGGGGAGAACGGAAUUCCUGGUGUAGCGGUGAAAUGCGCAGAUAUCAGGAGGAACACCGGUGGCGAAGGCGGUUCUCUGGGCAUUACCUGACGCUGAGGAGCGAAAGUGUGGGGAGCGAACAGG